CGGAACGGGUGAGUAACGCGUGAGGAACCUGCCUCAAAGAGGGGGACAACAGUUGGAAACGACUGCUAAUACCGCAUAAGCCCACGGCUCGGCAUCGAGCAGAGGGAAAAGGAGCAAUCCGCUUUGAGAUGGCCUCGCGUCCGAUUAGCUAGUUGGUGAGGUAACGGCCCACCAAGGCGACGAUCGGUAGCCGGACUGGGAGGUUGAACGGCACAUUGGGACUGAGACACGGCCCAG
RNAcentral lists this ribosomal RNA (237 nucleotides) under uncultured bacterium. Its description in RNAcentral is "partial 16S ribosomal RNA". It matches the Rfam family "Bacterial small subunit ribosomal RNA", at positions 100 to 334 of the family's 1533-position model. The record is from RNAcentral.